UUAAUCGGCAAAAACCAUCAGGUGUAUGCCUUUGUAUCGGAGUUUUCCGAUAAUGAAUUGGAUAUUAUCAGGGAAAUGGGGGUUACACCCGUUACCUACCGUUCAAACCGCAGCGGGCUGAACCCGUUUUCCGAUAUAAAAUCCACCUUCCUCAUAUUUAAAGAACUCAAAAAAAUAUCGCCGGAUUUGGUUUUCCCUUAUUUCGCAAAACCCGUGAUUUUCGGCACUUUUGCCGCAAAACUGGCAGGCGUGCCCAGAAUCGUCGGGAUGCUGGAAGGUUUGGGAUUCGCAUUUACCCCGCAACCGGAAGGCAUACCGUUAAAAACAAAAAUCAUAAAGGGGAUUUUGAUUGCCUUGUACCGCAUUGCCCUGCCGAUGUUGGAAAGCCUGAUUGUAUUAAACCCCGACGACAAAGACGAACUGACGGACAAAUACGGCAUCAAAAUAAAAAACAUCCAUAUUUUGGGCGGAAUCGGUCUGGAUUUGCGGCAAUAUCCUUAUUCCGAGGCGGAUAUUCCCGAUGAAAAAGAACCCGUAAAAUUCCUCUUUAUCGGCAGAUUUCUGAAAGAAAAGGGGAUUGAUGAUUUUAUUCGGGCGGCGGAACAGGUUAAGGACAAAUACCCCGAUACGGUUUUUACCGCUUUGGGCGCAAUCGACAAAUCACGCGCGGGGGGGGGGGGGGGGGG
This 686-nucleotide ribosomal RNA is filed under the name Neisseria meningitidis M7124. Its description in RNAcentral is "partial 23S ribosomal RNA". Lineage: Bacteria; Pseudomonadati; Pseudomonadota; Betaproteobacteria; Neisseriales; Neisseriaceae. The record is from RNAcentral.